This 711-nucleotide ribosomal RNA is filed under the name uncultured eukaryote. RNAcentral describes it as "bacterial SSU rRNA". It matches the Rfam family "Eukaryotic small subunit ribosomal RNA", at positions 680 to 1426 of the family's 1831-position model. The record is from RNAcentral.
CCGACGACUCCUCAUUCAUCCUCUUGCAAAUAUAUGUUCGCCUUUAACCGGGCGGCUAUAUGAGCAAGCAUUUUACCUUGAGAAAAACACAGUGUUCCCCGGGGGUGUGUCCCGAAUGCAUUAUCAUGGAAUAAUAUAAUAUGACUGAGAUCUAUUUAUUGGUUUGAGGCUUUAUUAAUGAUAAAAAGGAACACUCGGGGGGGUUGGUACUUGUCACUCACAGAUGAAAUUCUCUGAUUUGACAAAAACAAACACAUGCGAAAGCAUUUGCCACGGGUGUUUUCUUUAAUCACAAACAAAAGUUAUGGGAUAUCAAACAAUAUCAUACCCUCCUAUUCUCAACUAUAAACUAUACCGACUCGGAUUCAGAUGAAUCAUAAAGUUCAUUUGGGACCGUAGGAGAAAUCAAAGUUUUUGGGUUGUGGGGGAAGUAUGGUCGCAAGGGUGAAACUUAAAGGAAUUGACGGUUUUGCCCCCCCAUGGAGUGGAGUGUGCGGCUUAAUUUGACUCAACACUGGGAAACUCAUCAGGGCAAGAAGAUUGUAGGAUUGACAGAUUGAGAGUUCUUUCUUGAUUGGUCUAGUGGUGGUGCAUGGCCGUUCUUAGUUGGUGGAGUGAUUUGUCUGGUUAAUUCCGUUAACGAACGAGACCUUAACCUGCUAACUAGUACUUCGAUGACAAAUAGAAGUUACUUCUUAGAGGGACUAUGUG